This 431-nucleotide ribosomal RNA is filed under the name uncultured Elusimicrobium sp. RNAcentral describes it as "bacterial SSU rRNA". It matches the Rfam family "Bacterial small subunit ribosomal RNA", at positions 958 to 1385 of the family's 1533-position model. The record is from RNAcentral. Lineage: Bacteria; Pseudomonadati; Elusimicrobiota; Elusimicrobia; Elusimicrobiales; Elusimicrobiaceae.
AACGCGAAGAACCUUACCUGGGCUUGAACUACUGGUAGUAAGUCUUUGGAAACAUGGACUGAUCCGCAAGGAAGCCAGCAGAGGUGCUGCAUGGUUGUCGUCAGCUCGUGUCGUGAGAUGUUGGGUUAAGUCCCGCAACGAGCGCAACCCCUAUCUCAUGUUGCUACUCCCGCAAGGGAAGCACUCUUGAGAAACUGCCUUCGAUAAGAAGGAGGAAGGUGGGGAUGACGUCAAAUCCUCAUGGCCCUUAUGUCCAGGGCUACACACGUGCUACAAUGGCCGGUACAACGGGAAGCAAUACCGCAAGGUGGAGCAAAACCCUGAAAGCCGGCCUCAGUUCAGAUCGUGGGCUGAAACUCGCCCACGUGAAGGCGGAAUCGCUAGUAAUCGCGAAUCAGCAGGUCGCGGUGAAUACGUUCCCGGGCCUUGUA